RNAcentral lists this ribosomal RNA (421 nucleotides) under uncultured bacterium. Its description in RNAcentral is "bacterial SSU rRNA". It matches the Rfam family "Bacterial small subunit ribosomal RNA", at positions 355 to 774 of the family's 1533-position model. The record is from RNAcentral.
UAAGGAAUAUUGGUCAAUGGACGCAAGUCUGAACCAGCCAUGCCGCGUGAAGGAUGAAGGUCCUCUGGAUUGUAAACUUCUUUUAUCUGGGACGAAAACGGGAUUUUUAUCUCAAUUGACGGUACCAGAGGAAUAAGCACCGGCUAACUCCGUGCCAGCAGCCGCGGUAAUACGGAGGGUGCGAGCGUUAUCCGGCUUUACUGGGUUUAAAGGGUGCGUAGGUGGGCUUAUAAGUCAGUGGUGAAAUCUCCGAGCUUAACUUGGAAACUGCCGUUGAUACUAUAGGUCUUGAAUUAUCUGGAGGUAAGCGGAAUAUGUCAUGUAGCGGUGAAAUGUUUAGAUAUGACAUAGAACACCAAUUGCGAAGGCAGCUUACUACAUAUAAAUUGACGCUGAGGCACGAAAGCGUGGGGAUCAAACA